ACUGUCGCGCUGUUCUCGGACCAAACUGAGAGUGGGGCGGCUAUUUCUCGGGGCCCAAUGACGAGAUGCAGAUGAACUGAGGAGGAAGAGCGUUUUUAUUUUCUGCAACUGGUUACAGGGAGAAAGGCCUGGAAAUGAUCACCGGACCAACUCAAAAUUACAGUUUUCCAGAACUUACAUACCUUCUAAGCGGUAUGUCUACGUGGCCUUGCUGUGUCACCCAGGCUGGAGUGCAGUGGUGUGAUCAUAGCUCACUGUGAGGCAGGAAAUUAAGGAAAGAAAGAAUAAUAAAAUUUUAAAAAGAGAAAAAUAAGCUUUCUAUAUUAGGCUGACUCAUCCCAAAGGCAGUAACAGACAAAGCCCAGACCCAGACGAAGUCUUGAUAACAUCAUCAAAGAAGCAGAGGCUCAAAGGAGUGUGCUCUGGAGACUCUCCCAGCACUCCCUCAACAUAAGGAUAAGAAAAAGUUCCCCCUCGAACCCCAACCCCCUCCAUGUGAUUGUACCUUGCUCUGCAAGUUUUAUGAAUUUAUAGAUUCUUGUUUUCUGUAACUAGAAACUUCAAGUAUUCUGUUUUAUCUAAGCAGCACAGUGAAGGUUAUACAACAUGCCUGAGCAGGCCUGGGCUGCGGCCUUCUGGGCCCCAUAGCGAAGGUUAUGAGAUAAGCCUGUGCAAGGCUCUUUUAAGCAAGCCUAGAUAACAGCCAUCUGGACUGCAUAGCAAGAAUUACAUGUAACCCUGGGUUAUGCACCUGUCACAAUUUGAUUAACUGCCUAUGUUCUGUCUCUGUAUCCUUGCUUUCAUGCCACUGUAAGCUUGUUUCAAACUAGCCCACUCCCGUUCAAAGGUGUGUAUAUGAGUCAAGUGCUGUCUUUGUUCUGGGCCCAGUUUUUGGAUGUUAAUCCACUGGGUCUGAGUGCACUCAAUAAAAUUCUCAUGUCCCACCUACCUGUCUCUCCAGUCUCCUGAUUCCCACAACAACCGCAGCCUGUAGCUGGGACUACAGCUACAUUCUUUAAAUUUUGUAGAGAUGGGGUCUUGCUAUGUUGCUCAUGCUGGUCUCCUACUUCUAGCCUCAAGUGAUACUCCCACCUCAGCCUUCCAAAGUGCUGUGAUUACAGGCGUGAGCCACCAUGCUGGGGCACUUCACCCAGCCUUCUUGCUAGUUCUUGAUUUCAAGGGUGAAGGGGCAGGUU
Molecule: long non-coding RNA, 1196 nt
Filed under: Homo sapiens (human)
Lineage: Eukaryota; Metazoa; Chordata; Mammalia; Primates; Hominidae
Description: non-protein coding lnc-CDC42BPB-5:9
Source: RNAcentral